This is a long non-coding RNA of Oxyura jamaicensis (ruddy duck), 2241 nucleotides long. RefSeq lists it as uncharacterized. The transcript has 2 exons. Lineage: Eukaryota; Metazoa; Chordata; Aves; Anseriformes; Anatidae. The record is from RefSeq and is a predicted model, not a curated record.
GUUUGCACCGAUGGGUCUUCAGCUGGCGGUGGUGAAACCUUGCCCGAGAGCUGAGCACCUGGGCGAUCCCUGCACUGCCUUGUGCAAGGAUCAGCUUCGUUCUUUCCCCCACGCUCACCGUUCCUGCCAGCAGAGACCUUGAGGGCUAAAUCACCUGAAGGUUUCUCCUAAAAGCCUUGGCCGUUCCCUUAGGGUUGGCGUGCCGUGAUCCUCGGUGCCCACCAUGUGCUGCCAAGGCACUGUGCAAACAUCUUCAUGAAAAUAAAAACCAAAAACCCAGACUGAAAACGCAGCCAGCACUUCGGAAUUAGGCCAACUUGCGGGAUCGCUCCACCCCCUGCAGAGAGGGAGGUGCCUGCCAUUAUUCCUCUAAAUCAAUAUCCUCUUAACUCUGCCAUCCGUGCUUUCAAGGAGGAAACUUCCCGCGGGAGGUGCGGGUUGGUGUUAGCUCGGUUCCCCCUGGCACGUGUGUUCAGCUGCACUAAUGGGAAAGCAAUUUGCAGCCUGCUUUGUGAUUCCUGCUAUUUGUUUGAGUUUGGAUUUCAUUGCUUUUGCUUUCUAUAUUGUAUACCCAAGAAUUUGGGCUCGGUUGUGAGCUCAGAAAUAUUAAAAAAAAGAAACAAAUAUAUAGCAGAAUAAAAAACACUUCAUCACGCCUGGCUUUUUUUUCCCCUCCCUGGUCUCUGCUUUCUUUUUGAACCAGUGACCUCGUCUUCUUCCUAACUGCACCAUCAGGCUAGCCGAAAUUAACAUCUCAAAACGUGGCUGUGUAUUAUCUCAGCUAUCUGUUGUCGAAACAAGACGUGUAUGUGAGGAGCCGUAUCCAUAAUAGCAAUGUUCUAGAACAUGCAUUCUCCAGGUAACACCUUAGUGAUUGUAUUAAAGCUGUAUUCACGCUUCCUCUGUUAGCUUUUAACGGCCGUGUCUGCAGUUGAGUUGUUAUUGGGUUGAGCCUUGCUGCGGUUGGUUCCUGAUUGAACACGAUUCCAGUUGGGGCAUGAACUUUGGGCACGUUUGUAUCGUCUCACGAGAAGAGACUUUUCUGUUCCAGCCUCGUGCAAAGUCCCUAGAGGAUGCGCUGCAGCAGCGUAGAGCACUGCCAUCGUCUGCCAGGAGCUAGGUAGGGAGAUUUCCCCUUGCUUUCCUCUUGCUUUGGCAUACUGAGAGCCAGAAGUGCCUGAACCAAGCACAGCAUGUUUUGUAGAGGUGGGCAGAAGCUGCUCUGUCCUAUAACUGAAUGUCUUCUAGCAAAGAAGGCAAAAUUCAGCACUCUUGAGUCAGUCGUGCUCACUGAGGGGUAAAAUCUGGCACACGGAACGGCACAGAACGGGCUUGGGGCACGCUAAUUUUCCUCUAGUUGCGUGCGGUGCUGACUUCCCAAAGAGUAGCGGUGAAUUCGUGAUGCCUCCUAGGCAGACACGGGGCGUCUCGGUGCAAUUAAGCGACCCGUGUAAUUAGGUUUGUAGAGCAUCAGUCAGACUCGGCAUUUCUGUCACUAGUUGCACGUUUUCUCAGGUGGCACCCGACCAAAUGAAGUUUAGUUUCCUUGCAUCGCCCUUCCUGUGCGAGCCCUGUAGCUCUUAACGUGUCAAACACAACACUUGACUUCUGUACCAUCUCACCAAGCUUCAUUAAGAGCUUUCUCUGCAUGCAUCUUUAGCAGGCUUUAAAUUGUCCCGAGAUUUUGGCCAUUUUUGUCACUUCCUACGCAGAAGAUGCGAAGGGGAACAGCGCCGCCGGGCUAGUGAAAGCAUUGGCGAGCAUCUUUGCUGUGAAGGACAGGGGAUUGUACAGCCUGCAGCCACUUCAUGGCUUUUUUUUCUGUGAUUUUUUUUCCUUUCCCCUCGUAAAUUAUUUGAAAAUAGGGUAGUGGGAGGGAAACAACUAGCGGGACUCAAGGUGAGAUGAUUUACCAUAGCGUGCUUUAAGCUGUCGAGAGCCUUUCGGUUCCUGCACAGCCGUGACGCUGUUAAACGUCUGCAAAUGGAGCAAACAUUUCAUGGCAGUCUUUUCCCCUCGCUAGGAAUUCCUCAGAUUUUUGAGAAUAUUAGUUUUGGAAGAUCGUAUCCCACUCUAUUUUUAUAGCAAGCACAACAGCGUCGGUUUAUCCUUGCUUGGCCAGGUAUUUUAAACAAGCGAAAACAAAAUAUUCCAUAGCAAAUGACACAUUAAAGCUACGUUGGUAAUUGCGGGAAAGCUCAUCUGUAUUUAUAAAAUAAAACUGAUUAGUAUCUCUCAGAA